CCUACGGGGAGCAGCAGUGAGGAAUAUUGGUCAAUGGACGGAAGUCUGAACCAGCCAUGCCGCGUGCAGGAAGACGGCUCUAUGAGUUGUAAACUGCUUUUGUACAAGGGUAAACCUGAAUACGUGUAUUCAGCUGAAAGUACUGUACGAAUAAGGAUCGGCUACCUCCGUGCCAGCAGCCGCGGUAAUACGGAGUAUCCAAGCGUUAUCCGGAUUUAUUGGGUUUAACGGGUGCGUAGGCGGAUUGAUAAGUUAGAGGUGAAAUGUCCGAGCUUAACUCGGGAACUGCCUCUAAUAAUGUUGAUCUAGAGAGUAGAUGCGGUAGGCGGAAUGUAUGGUGUAGCGGGGAAAUGCUUAGAGAUCAUACAGAACACCGAUUGCGAAGGCAGCUUACCAAUCUAUAUCUGACGUUGAGGCACGAAAGCGUGGGGAGCAAACAGGAUUAGAUACCCCAGUAGUC
RNAcentral lists this ribosomal RNA (460 nucleotides) under uncultured bacterium. RNAcentral's name for it is "partial 16S ribosomal RNA". It matches the Rfam family "Bacterial small subunit ribosomal RNA", at positions 338 to 795 of the family's 1533-position model. The record is from RNAcentral.